This 230-nucleotide ribosomal RNA is filed under the name Pseudomonas aeruginosa. Its description in RNAcentral is "partial 16S ribosomal RNA". It matches the Rfam family "Bacterial small subunit ribosomal RNA", at positions 196 to 414 of the family's 1533-position model. Lineage: Bacteria; Pseudomonadati; Pseudomonadota; Gammaproteobacteria; Pseudomonadales; Pseudomonadaceae. The record is from RNAcentral.
GAGGGAGAAAGUGGGGGAUCUUCGGACCUCACGCUAUCAGAUGAGCCUAGGUCGGAUUAGCUAGUUGGUGGGGUAAAGGCCUACCAAGGCGACGAUCCGUAACUGGUCUGAGAGGAUGAUCAGUCACACUGGAACUGAGACACGGUCCAGACUCCUACGGGAGGCAGCAGUGGGGAAUAUUGGACAAUGGGCGAAAGCCUGAUCCAGCCAUGCCGCGUGUGUGAAGAAGG